AUUGAACGCUGGCGGCAGGCCUAACACAUGCAAGUCGAGCGGAUGGAGGGAGCUUGCUCCUGGAUUCAGCGGCGGACGGGUGAGUAAUGCCUAGGAAUCUGCCUGGUAGUGGGGGAUAACGUCCGGAAACGGGCGCUAAUACCGCAUACGUCCUGAGGGAGAAAGUGAGGGAUCUUCGGACCUCACGCUAUCAGAUGAGCCUAGGUCGGAUUAGCUAGUUGGUGGGGUAAAGGCCUACCAAGGCGACGAUCCGUAACUGGUCUGAGAGGAUGAUCAGUCACACUGGAACUGAGACACGGUCCAGACUCCUACGGGAGGCAGCAGUGGGGAAUAUUGGACAAUGGGCGAAAGCCUGAUCCAGCCAUGCCGCGUGUGUGAAGAAGGUCUUCGGAUUGUAAAGCACUUUAAGUUGGGAGGAAGGGCAGUAAGUUAAUACCUUGCUGUUUUGACGUUACCAACAGAAUAAGCACCGGCUAACUUCGUG
This 484-nucleotide ribosomal RNA is filed under the name uncultured bacterium. RNAcentral's name for it is "partial 16S ribosomal RNA". It matches the Rfam family "Bacterial small subunit ribosomal RNA", at positions 30 to 507 of the family's 1533-position model. The record is from RNAcentral.